CUGCUGCCUCCCGUAGGAGUCUGGGCCGUGUCUCAGUCCCAAUGUGGCCGUCCACCCUCUCAGGCCGGCUAUGGAUCGUCGGUUUGGUGGGCCGUUACCCCGCCAACUGCCUAAUCCAACGCGGACCCAUCCUAUGCCGCCUCAGCUUUUCACACCGUACCAUGCGGUACUGUGCGCUUAUGCGGUAUUAGCACCCGUUUCCGGAUGUUAUCCCCCUGCAUAGGGCAGGUUGUCCACGCGUUACUCACCCGUCCGCCG
RNAcentral lists this ribosomal RNA (258 nucleotides) under uncultured bacterium. Its description in RNAcentral is "partial 16S ribosomal RNA". The record is from RNAcentral.